GUGACCUCGGAUCAGGUAGGAAUACCCGCUGA
Molecule: ribosomal RNA, 32 nt
Filed under: Elsinoe eucalypticola
Lineage: Eukaryota; Fungi; Ascomycota; Dothideomycetes; Myriangiales; Elsinoaceae
Description: partial 28S ribosomal RNA
Source: RNAcentral